RNAcentral lists this transfer RNA (72 nucleotides) under Planctomycetota bacterium. RNAcentral describes it as "Planctomycetes bacterium (rhizosphere metagenome) tRNA-Ala". It matches the Rfam family "tRNA". Rfam says of the family: Transfer RNA (tRNA) molecules are approximately 80 nucleotides in length. The record is from RNAcentral. Lineage: Bacteria; Pseudomonadati; Planctomycetota.
GGGCGUGUCGUCUAAGGGGAAGACGGUCGGUUUGCACCCGGCAGAUGAGGGUUCAACUCCCUCCACGGUCCA